GACCGGCCUAAGUUUUACCCAACUCUCCUAAAGUUUUACCAUCUUUUGCUAUACCAGACUUGAGCUGGGAACUUUACACGAUAGCCAACCGACUCAAUUUAGGUGCUGUCAAGCUUGCAUCACGUUCGCUGGAACCAUAGAGUAUAAAACUGCUAUAAAAAUUAUUUUCUACACUGCAUGUAUCAUAUAGCCAUGCAUGCCAUCAAUCAAAAUCGCCUUUCUAUUUAUGAAUUUAUUCAUUAAGCAUGUAUCUCCUUGUAUCAUUAUAAAAAUGAGUGGUUAUGAUUGAUGGCGUGCAUAACCAGAUGAUGCAUAUGGUGUCUGGAAUAUUAUUCUCCU
Molecule: long non-coding RNA, 339 nt
Filed under: Elaeis guineensis (African oil palm)
Lineage: Eukaryota; Viridiplantae; Streptophyta; Magnoliopsida; Arecales; Arecaceae
Description: long non-coding RNA (EGUI_LNC012030)
Source: RNAcentral